This 253-nucleotide ribosomal RNA is filed under the name uncultured prokaryote. RNAcentral's name for it is "partial 16S ribosomal RNA". It matches the Rfam family "Bacterial small subunit ribosomal RNA", at positions 525 to 777 of the family's 1533-position model. The record is from RNAcentral.
ACGAAGGGUGCAAGCGUUACUCGGAAUUACUGGGCGUAAAGGGUGCGUAGGUGGUUUUUUAAGUCUGCUGUGAAAUCCCCGGGCUCAACCUGGGAAUGGCAGUGGAUACUGGCUGGCUAGAGUGUGUCAGAGGAUGGUGGAAUUCCCGGUGUAGCGGUGAAAUGCGUAGAGAUCGGGAGGAACAUCAGUGGCGAAGGCGGCCAUCUGGGACAACACUGACGCUGAAGCACGAAAGCGUGGGGAGCAAACAGGA